UACGUAGGAUGCGAGCGUUGUCCGGAAUUACUGGGCGUAAAGGGCGCGUAGGCGGCAAUUCAAGUCAUCUGUGAAAUCUCCGGGCUUAACUCGGAACGGUCAGAUGAUACUGCUUUGCUCGAGUGCGGAAGGGGCAAUCGGAAUUCUUGGUGUAGCGGUGAAAUGCGUAGAUAUCAAGAGGAACACCUGAGGUGAAGACGGGUUGCUGGGCCGACACUGACGCUGAAGCGCGAAAGCCAGGGGAGCAAACGGG
This 253-nucleotide ribosomal RNA is filed under the name uncultured bacterium. Its description in RNAcentral is "partial 16S ribosomal RNA". It matches the Rfam family "Bacterial small subunit ribosomal RNA", at positions 524 to 776 of the family's 1533-position model. The record is from RNAcentral.